AUUGAACGCUGGCGGCAGGCCUAACACAUGCAAGUCGAGCGGAUGAAGGGAGCUUGCUCCUGGAUUCAGCGGCGGACGGGUGAGUAAUGCCUAGGAAUCUGCCUGGUAGUGGGGGAUAACGUCCGGAAACGGGCGCUAAUACCGCAAACGUUCUGAGGGAGAAAGUGGGGGAUCUUCGGACCUCACGCUAUCAGAUGAGCCUAGGUCGGAUUAGCUAGCUGGUGGGGUAAAGGCCUACCAAGGCGACGAUCCGUAACUGGUCUGAGAGGAUGAUCAGUCACACUGGAACUGAGACACGGUCCAGACUCCUACGGGAGGCAGCAGUGGGGAAUAUUGGACAAUGGGCGAAAGCCUGAUACAGCCAUGCCGCGUGUGUGAAGAAGGUCUUCGGAUUGUAGAGCACUUUAAGUUGGGAGGAAGGGCAGUAAGUUAAUACCUUGCUGUUUUGACGUUACCAACAGAAUAAGCACCGGCUAACUUCGUG
RNAcentral lists this ribosomal RNA (484 nucleotides) under uncultured bacterium. RNAcentral's name for it is "partial 16S ribosomal RNA". It matches the Rfam family "Bacterial small subunit ribosomal RNA", at positions 30 to 507 of the family's 1533-position model. The record is from RNAcentral.